CAAAAGCACUCAUCUCUAUCAAGCUGUCCUCUGUUAAUUCCUCUGGUGUGGUGUCUAUUAGCUCUUGAAUUUUUCCAAGAUCCAUUUCUUGAAAUCCUUCACCCCUCACUUAAAAAAAAAUUCUUUUUUGCCAUAUCCACAGUCGCUUUCAUCAUUUUCUUAAUUGGUUCUGUUGUAAAUCCUGUGAAGUCACACACAACAUCUGGACAGAGUUUUCUCCAGCAGGAAUUUAUUGUUUUGGGCUUGAUGGCUUUCACAACCUUUUCUGUAACAAAAUGGCAUCUUAAAUGGUGUAAUCCUUCCAGACUUUCGUGAUGUUCUCUCUGUUGGGAUUCUCUUCCAUAGU
This 346-nucleotide long non-coding RNA is filed under the name Homo sapiens (human). RNAcentral's name for it is "non-protein coding lnc-SLC10A7-2:1". The record is from RNAcentral. Lineage: Eukaryota; Metazoa; Chordata; Mammalia; Primates; Hominidae.